Molecule: regulatory RNA element, 123 nt
Organism: Halioglobus sp. HI00S01
Lineage: Bacteria; Pseudomonadati; Pseudomonadota; Gammaproteobacteria; Cellvibrionales; Halieaceae
Rfam family: Ribosomal S15 leader
About the family: The E. coli Ribosomal S15 gene 5' UTR can form two alternative structures. One that is a series of three hairpins, The other includes a pseudoknot.
Source: Rfam
GGACAGGCUCUUUUUAUAGGAAGGGUGGUUCGCCACCUGAGGCAGAUUAUUCAAGAGGAAUAGAAAAUGGCUUUGAACGCUGAACAGAAAGCAGCAAUCGUAAAUGAGUACCAGGUAGGCGAA